This 230-nucleotide ribosomal RNA is filed under the name uncultured bacterium. RNAcentral describes it as "partial 16S ribosomal RNA". It matches the Rfam family "Bacterial small subunit ribosomal RNA", at positions 563 to 791 of the family's 1533-position model. The record is from RNAcentral.
CGUAAGCGUGCGCAGGCGGUUAUAUAAGACAGAUGUGAAAUCCCCGGGCUCAACCUGGGAACUGCAUUUGUGACUGUAUAGCUGGAGUGCGGCAGAGGGGGAUGGAUUCCGCGUGUAGCAGUGAAAUGCGUAGAUAUGCGGAGGACACCGAUGGCGAAGGCAAUCCCCUGGGCCUGCACUGACGCUCAUGCACGAAAGCGUGGGGAGCAAACAGGAUUAGAUACCCCUGU